AAGUCGUAACAAGGUUUCCGUAGGUGAACCUGCGGAAGGAUCAUUAACACGUAUCCAAACAUCCUGCUCUUGUAACCCGCGUAGUUCGCAAUCUCUGGUAAAUCAUAGCCCGGAAAGUAGUUUUGAUUCAGAGACCUCUGGCUACGUGAGAACAUUGGAACAGUUACAAUCGAGCGGUAGUUUCAUAGGCAUUGUUUCCCCAAGCAGUUAGUGUCUGAAAGUGUCACUGAUUGUGCAAGGAUAGCGCUUCAACGAUUCCUGUAGACCGUACACUCGGGCAGGAGCUAUGCCAAAGGGUCCCCAUGCCCCCUUAUAACCCCACAGUUUAAUGUGAAGCUCAAUGUAAUACAUUGGGUAAAAAAACCGAACAACUGUUAACAAUGGAUAUCUUGGUUCUC
RNAcentral lists this unclassified non-coding RNA (398 nucleotides) under fungal sp. RNAcentral's name for it is "partial internal transcribed spacer region". The stretch from base 1 to 46 matches the Rfam family "Eukaryotic small subunit ribosomal RNA", at positions 1786 to 1831 of the family's 1831-position model. The record is from RNAcentral. Lineage: Eukaryota; Fungi.